AGUGAACGCUGGCGGUAGGCCUAACACAUGCAAGUCGAACGGCAGCACAGUAAGAGCUUGCUCUUACGGGUGGCGAGUGGCGGACGGGUGAGGAAUACAUCGGAAUCUACUUUUUCGUGGGGGAUAACGUAGGGAAACUUACGCUAAUACCGCAUACGACCUACGGGUGAAAGCAGGGGAUCUUCGGACCUUGCGCGAUUGAAUGAGCCGAUGUCGGAUUAGCUAGUUGGCGGGGUAAAGGCCCACCAAGGCGACGAUCCGUAGCUGGUCUGAGAGGAUGAUCCGCCACACUGGAACUGAGACACGGUCCAGACUCCUACGGGAGGCAGCAGUGGGGAAUAUUGCGCAAUGGGCGAGAGCCUGAUCCAGCCCUACCGCGUGGGUGAUGAAGGACUUCGGGUUGUAAAGCCCUUUUGUUGGGAAAGAAAAGCAGCAGGUUAAUACCCCGCUGUUCUGACGGUACCCAAAGAAUAAGCACCGGCUAACUUCGUG
Molecule: ribosomal RNA, 492 nt
Filed under: uncultured bacterium
Lineage: Bacteria
Description: partial 16S ribosomal RNA
Rfam family: Bacterial small subunit ribosomal RNA
Source: RNAcentral